Molecule: small RNA, 125 nt
Filed under: Marmota monax (woodchuck)
Lineage: Eukaryota; Metazoa; Chordata; Mammalia; Rodentia; Sciuridae
Source: RNAcentral
ACUGGGUAUGGUUGUGCAUGCCUGUAAUCCCAAUGGCUUGGGAGGCUGAGGCAGGAGGAUUUCAAGUUCAAAACCAUCUGGAGCAAAAGAGAGGCACUAAGCAACUCAGUGAGAACCUGUCUCUA